RNAcentral lists this ribosomal RNA (457 nucleotides) under Osmia cerinthidis. RNAcentral's name for it is "partial 12S ribosomal RNA". The record is from RNAcentral. Lineage: Eukaryota; Metazoa; Arthropoda; Insecta; Hymenoptera; Megachilidae. RNAcentral also lists the same sequence under 1 other name.
AGAUUAAAUUAUAAAACUAGGAUUAGAUACCCUAUUAUAUUAAUUUUGAAAAAAAAAUUAAUUAUUAAAUGUAUAAUCAUUAAAAUUAUAAAAUAUGGCAGUUAUAUAAAAUUUUAGGGGAAUUUGUAUAUUAAUUUGAUAGUCCACAUUAUAAUAUACUAAUAAAAAGUUAAAAAUUAUUUUUGUAUUGUUGUUUAAAAAUUUUGUAUAAAUAUAAUAAUUAAAAUUUAUUUUUAAUAAAAAAAUUCAAAUCAAAAUAAAGUAUUUAUUAGAUAAUAUGAGUUACAUUAAUAAAUAAUUUAUUUAAGUUAAUAAAUUUUAAUAUUUUAAAUAAAUAGGAUUUAAAAGUAAAAUUAAUUAAAUAUAUUAAUUUGAAUAUUUUUUUAUAUAAUGUACAAAUUGCCCGUCAAUUUCAAUAAAAUUUGAAAUAAGUCGUAACAAAGUGAGGGUAUUGGAA